GGUUUUAGCUGGGUAAAUAAGAAUUUUGAAAAUUCUUUAGAAGUGUUCAAUUCACUUAAAAACUU
This 65-nucleotide transfer RNA is filed under the name Iridoteuthis sp. GS-2021. Its description in RNAcentral is "tRNA-Ser". The record is from RNAcentral. Lineage: Eukaryota; Metazoa; Mollusca; Cephalopoda; Sepiida; Sepiolidae.